GGCUUAAGAUUCUCUCUGUCUCUCUCUCUCUCUGUCUCUCUCUCUGUCUCUCUCUCUGUCUCUCUCUCUCUCUCUCAGAUCUCUCUCUCUUUCUCUCUCUGCCCCUCUUCCCUGGCUCGCACUGUUUCAAAAAAAGAUGACCAAGAAGAAGAAUUGUGAGUGUGUUGUUGAAAGUGACAGGAUUCUGGAUAGACCAGGGGCUAAUUCAUAGGGAGGCACAGGGCAGUGUGGCUGGGCAACUUGGAAAUUCCUGUGACUCACCAGGUUGUCUUCUCAUCUGCUGGGCUGUUUAAAAAAAAAAAAAAAUCGAGAAACUACACAAACCCUGUGUGAUUCAGUAAGAAAUACAUGUUUGGUUUUUGUCCCUGAAGAGCUUCUACAACCCUUGGAAUUUCUUGAGUGACAGAGGUGAGUGAUAGGAGGAUUUUGUGGUAUUCCUAACAAGCUCCUUUCAGCCCUGUCUGAGCCUAUGCUAAUAAAAUGACUCUAAGUGGGCCCCUAGAUAGCUUCCUAAUGGGGGCUGGUUGCCAGAGGAACCAAUCGUGUGUGACUGAGAGGGUGGGAACUUUCAGCCCCACCUGCUGACCUGGGGGUGGGGUGGGGGGGGGAGAGGAGCUGGAAACUGAAUUAAUCACCAGUAGACAGUGAUUUUAAUCAAUCGUGCCUAUGUAAUGAAGCCUCCGUAAAAGCCCCUAUAUGAUGAGGGUUCUGAGGGCUUCCAGGUUGGUGAACACAUCAAGGUGCUGGGAGGGUGGCGUAUCUGAGGACAGCUCAGGGACACCACACCCCUCCCCCCAUACUUUGCACUGUGCAUCUCUUCCAUUUGACCGUUCUUGAGUUGCAUCCUUUAUAAAUUGGCAGUAGUAACUAAAACACUCUCUUGAGUUCUGUGAACUGUUCUAGCAAUUAUCAAACUUGAGAGGGUCAUAGGAACCCCCUGCUGUAUAGCCAGUUUAUAGUUGGGCAGAAGCAUAAGUGGCAGCCUGGGACUUGGAACUGGCAUCUGAAGUGGAGCAGUCUUGGACUGAGCCCUUAACUUGUGGGGUCUGUGCUGACACUGGGGAGUGUCAUAAUUACAGGACACCCAGUUGUUGUCCGGGGAAUCAAAGAUUUGGUCGUCAAACGGAGAGGAAGAAACCUAUCUAUUUGGUUGUCGGAAGUGCUGUGAAUAAUAAGAACAGUUAGCUCUGGAAACUGUAUUUUGAACUUCACACUAAUGGCCUAAGUCUUGGGCAUGCAAUUUUGGCAAGCCCUCUUGUACUAGAGUUUCCAUCUGGUUGAAGUUUACCUCGAGAAUCUGGUUUCCAAGGACCACGUGGUGGUCACAUCUGUCGACUGGGUUGUCAGUGGCAUUUGUCAAGGACAUAACUGUAGCUCUUGCAGCUGCUCCUGUUUUCUCCUCUUUUUCCAUCACCAGAAUUGUGGCUAGCCAUCGCCAGGUGCCUCAGUUAGGUGAGCCAUCUGGAGACCUGCUUUUGGAGGUGGGGGAAUGGGCAGAGAGGUGGUUCACCCGCAUCUUCAGCGGGCAGUGGAGCCCUCAGGAACUUGUUGGGUGCCCAUUUUUGUGCCGCGUGCCUUGCUCUGCACUGGAGAUAGGGAGUGGAAUGUACCUGGGCCCUUUGAGGACACAGGACGGACAAGAAGGCCCGCCUCCUCUCCUUGCACCGCUCUCCCAGCCCUCUGAAGCUGGAGCCACACAAGCCCUCCUUUCGGUUUCUUGAUUGUGCCAACUGCUUCCAUGCCUUGGCACCUUCACGUGUGCUGUGCCCUCUUUCUGGAGACUUCUCCCCGCUCUUUGGUUGACUGCCUCCUACUCAUCUGUCGGGUACCAGUUUAAUGACCCCUGUCCCAAGAGACCUUCCCCAAGCAUCCAUUCUGGUUUCUCCCCAUCUUCACCUGGCUGUGUGGUAGCCUCUGUCUUGUUUCCCUCUUAGCCCUUUUCCCAACUUACAAUUAUGUAUUUUUUUUGCUUUGGUCUCCCCCCCACCCCUACUAGACAGUAAGUUCCCCGAGGGCAUGUCCUAUAGUCUUCUCAAGCUUGACGCUUCUAUGAGUUGGAUGGUUCAGUAUGUACUGACACCUACAGCCGCUUUUCUGUCAGAGGAAGAGGUGAUGUGGCACUCCAGGAAGGAGGGGUGGAGAAGGGUUUUGCAAAGGAGGCAGCAUUUGAACUGUGCUCUGUGAAAACGGGUAGGGCUUCACCUGGGAAGGAGGGAGGAGCACGCCAGACAAAGGGAAUAAUAUGAAGGAGCUGCUGGGGAGUUCCUGGUGAUUGGGGAACCUGAGAGUGAUGGGAGUGAGAAUGAGAACUGGGCUGGGAAGGGUCUUGACUCCAUGACACAGGCUGAAGACAGAACCCUCAAAAGCCUGUGUGUGUGUGUGUGUGUGUGUGUGUGUGUGUGUGUGCGCGCGCGCGCGCGCGCAUGCCCGUGAAUGUGUGUGAAACAUGGCCCUAUUUACACUUGAGCAUUUUCUCCUUAAGCCAGCCUCACAUGCUAUUAUUUCUCUUUGAGAUAACAGAAAGCAAUUUCACUAAGUGCUGCUUUAAGUUGCCUGCUGUUCACAGGUUUUCCGGGCUCGGCUGGCAAAUUCCAUUCUGCAGGGAGCUUUCUCUGGCACAGGGACCCAAGGAAUUCCAAGAAGCACUUGAACUUGACUUCAAGGUCUUAGUUUCCUAGGAAUGGGACUGAGGCAUUUUUCAGUGCGGUGGGCUCGAAGGUGGUCCCUUGGCUGCAUUUGGGAACUGAGAAAUUGCUGUUGGUUUUGAAAUUUCUCCUUGCCCAGUCAACAAAAGAUUUAUGUCUGCUAUUCAUUCAAGUCUGCGCUUGGUGUCAUGGGCUACAGCUCAGGACCUUGCCCUUCCAGAGCUGCCAGUCCGGUAGGGAAUUGCUGCCAUUUACAAAUAAGUCCAAUUCAAGGUGGUCAGUGGCCCCUCCGAGGGGAUGCAGAGGGGGUCGAGGCAUGAGUGGGGGAGGGGCAGAGAGAGGGAAACACAGAAUCCGAAGCAGGCUCCAGGCUCAGAGCUGUCAGCACAGAGCCCGACGCGGGGCUCCAACUCAGGAACCGCGAGAUCAUGACCUGAGCCGAAGUCGGAUGCUUAACUGACUGAGCCACCCAGGCGCCCCAAGUAAGGAGCAUAUUAAACGCAGUGAUCAGUCUCUUUGCUGGAUUAUCUGAGGGGUGGCAAAAGAAGCCAAAGGUUUGGUAUUAGAUUAAUGUAUUUAUUUUUUGAGUAUCUACUAUGUUCUAGGCAUUGUUCUCGUCCCAGGGAUCCAGGAUACAGCCCGUGCACUCAGGAAUGUCACAUUCUAGUGGUGGAGACAGAUGGUUAACAAAGAAGUAUGUGUUGGGGCACCUGGCUGGCUCCAUUGGUACAGCAAUGUCUUGAUUUCAGGGUGGUGAGUUCGAGCCCCACGUUGGGAGUAGAGCUUACUUAAAAGAGAAGUAUGUGUUAUGUCGGGUGUCAGAGGUGCUCUGAAGGGAAACAAGGGAGGUCAGGGGUUGGAGCGUGCCAAGCUGAGGGAGAUGGUGACUUAGAUUGGGAAGUCAGGGAAGACUUCUCUGCAACAGUGACAUUACAUUUGAGCAGAGCCCUGAGUGAAAUGAGGGAGCAAGCGUGUGGGUAUCUGCUCCGGGAGGAAGAGUAUUCCAGAGAAAAGGAACCAUGGUGCAGAGGCCCAGAGGUGGGAGUGUGUUUGAGGACAGCAAGGAGGCAAGACUGGCUGGUGGGCAGUGAGGUUGGGAAGGUGGCCAUGGCUCAAUUCUGAAUUGUAAGUGAAUUUUAUUUUUUAGACCAUUGGAAGCUUUUGAGCAAAAGAGAGAAAUCUGACAGAAAUGCUUUUAGAAGGCUCUCUCUGGCAGCGUUGUAGAGAACAGUCCAGGUCUGGCUCCUUCAGGGUCUCAGAACCCCAUUUGGCUCAUCUAUAACUUCAUGGGGCGAUUGUGAGGUUUAAAGGAGAACAUGAAGAGAAACAUGAAGACAUGCCUAACGGGCCAAGCCAACUGGUCUAGCUCUUGGGCUCUGUGGAGAAUUUAGUGACCUACUGAGCACCUAUUUGCCAAGCACUGUUGUGAACACAACAGGGAAAAAAUCCUUGCCCUCCUAGAGCUGUGUGGAGCUAGAGGAGAGACCCAGAAAGUAAGUAAUAAUCACAAGGGUCAUAAUAAUCACAAUAAAUAAAAUAUACAUGAAGAAGAGAGAGUAUACGUAAACCACCCGGUGCCUGGCCUGUGGCGAGCACUCCGUGAAUGGUAGCUAUUACAAUCACUAAGUGAAAGCAUUUUGUAAAGCAGGGCAGCACAGCAGAGAGGUAGGUCUCCUUGUGACAGACUGCGUGAGCAUGUUGCUUCAUUUAAGCUUUACCUCAUCUCUGCCCAAUUAAGUUUCAUUCGGCUCCAAGGCCCCUCUCGAAUUGCCUGCUUGCAAUCCUUGUCUCUUAUGGCGUAGAGCUUUCUUCCGUCUUCUUUUCGGCCAGCAUUUAGCAAACGCCACUUUUGCUGGAUGCCGGGGCUGUGAAGCAGUAGGGGUGUGGUUAGGAGGGAGGUGGGGUGUGGUUGGGGGGAGCCCAGAGACCAGGCAGAGGAGAGCCAGGCUGUGUAAGAGUAUGGCUGCCUUGGUUUUAUGCUGCCAGGAGAGACCCUGAAGGCUUCUAAACUAGGUGAUAAAGUUAGCAGAUAGACUAAGACUUCACAUUCUUGCUUAAAUACAUUUCAAUAAAAGUAGACAUUUGCAUUAUGGUCAAAAGCAUAAUCUGUUUUUAAGCCCCAUCAAGCGUGGAGAUAUGAGGACGUGUGGAAGUGCAAAGACCUCAGGGCAAAUAAUGUCUCAAAGUGAAGACGGUAUGCUGCUAGAUCAGCGAGAAAUUCGGCAGAAUGGAGCAGGGAGGUUUCGGAACUGGGUAAACCUGGGUUAGCACUUUUUACCAGCAGCAAGCUAUUCCACCUUGGUGAGAGGGUAAAUAUCAACCCCACAGCUUUCAGAGUUGCUGAAAGGAUUAAAGAAAACAUCCACCAAGUGCCUGACACUAGGUGCAUGAUAAGAGGCAUACAUUAUUAUUAUUAUUUUACAUUUACUUAUUUUUGAGAGACAGAGAUAGAGCACGAGUGGG
Long non-coding RNA from Felis catus (domestic cat), 5108 nucleotides. RefSeq lists it as uncharacterized. NCBI's taxonomy places the organism in Eukaryota, Metazoa, Chordata, Mammalia, Carnivora, Felidae. The transcript has 3 exons. The record is from RefSeq and is a predicted model, not a curated record.